RNAcentral lists this microRNA precursor (209 nucleotides) under Oryza brachyantha (malo sina). RNAcentral describes it as "MIR812 microRNA precursor family". It matches the Rfam family "MIR812 microRNA precursor family". Lineage: Eukaryota; Viridiplantae; Streptophyta; Magnoliopsida; Poales; Poaceae. The record is from Rfam by way of RNAcentral.
AAUAAAAUCAUUUUUCAGUUUUUUCAUACAAUGUUUUGACUCUUCAUCUUAUUUGAAUUUUUUUUGCGAUUAAUAUUUUUAUUCUUACUAGAUGAUAAAACAUAAAUGAUACUUUAUAAGUGACUAAUUUUUUUUAAGUUUUUUACAAAUUUUUCAAAUAAGACUAAUGGACAAACGUUGGACAGAAAAAAACGAAAAACGAUCUUAUU